UACGGAGGGGGCAAGCGUUGUUCGGAAUUACUGGGCGUAAAGGGCGCGCAGGCGGCUGCUCAAGUCAGGCGUGAAAGGCCUGGGCUCAACCCGGGAAUUGCGCUUGAGACUGGGCUGGCUUGAGUGCGGGAGAGGAUGGUGGAAUUCCCAGUGUAGAGGUGAAAUUCGUAGAUAUCAGGAGGAACACCGGUGGCGAAGGCGCACAUCUGGCCCAAUACUGACGCUGAGGCGCGAAAGCUAGGGGAGCAAACGGG
RNAcentral lists this ribosomal RNA (254 nucleotides) under uncultured bacterium. RNAcentral's name for it is "partial 16S ribosomal RNA". It matches the Rfam family "Bacterial small subunit ribosomal RNA", at positions 524 to 776 of the family's 1533-position model. The record is from RNAcentral.